GAUGAAGAACGUAGCGAAAUGCGAUAAGUAGUGUGAAUUGCAGAAUUCAGUGAAUCAUCGAAUCUUUGAACGCACAUUGCGCCCCUUGGUAUUCCAUGGGGCAUGCCUGUUCGAGCGUCAUCUACACCCUCAAGCUCUGCUUGGUGUUGGGCGUCUGUCCCGCCUUUGCGCGUGGACUCGCCCCAAAUUCAUUGGCAGCGGCCCUUGCCUCCUCUCGCGCAGCACAUUUGCGCUUCUCGAGGUGCGCGGGCCGCGUCCACGAAGCAACUAUUACCGUCUUUGACCUCGGAUCAGGUAGGGAUACCCGCUGAACUUAAGCAUAUCAAUAAGCGGAGGA
Molecule: unclassified non-coding RNA, 337 nt
Filed under: soil metagenome
Description: partial contains 5.8S ribosomal RNA, internal transcribed spacer 2, and large subunit ribosomal RNA
Rfam family: 5.8S ribosomal RNA (bases 1-120)
Source: RNAcentral